This is a non-coding RNA of Bactrocera oleae (olive fruit fly), 4176 nucleotides long. The record is from RefSeq and is a predicted model, not a curated record. NCBI's taxonomy places the organism in Eukaryota, Metazoa, Arthropoda, Insecta, Diptera, Tephritidae.
GUUGCUCAGAACGUGGAGGCGCUAACAUGAAAAAAACGUAGCCGUACCUUAUAACAGUUUAAAUUAAAAUCGAAAAUUGUUAAGCGAGUUUUCCGAUUCGUGCAGCAAAACAAAACGAUCGUUGAGCCUGAUUUCUUACAAGUUCGUGCUAAAAUGUGAUAGUUCUUUCAACUUGCUGAAGAUGCUUAGAGCACACAACGAUUUCUCUUCGACGCCUUCACACACAACGAAGCAAACAGAAUCGAGUUAUAUUACUACAAAUAAUUAUAUAAGCAUAUAAAGUCAUCUAAACGACAGAAUAUUUGACUCCAUUGUGACCAGCAACAGCAGCGAUUUCUAUACAACCAUUACGAUAAUUGGGCGCCUCUUGGUUGAAGGCAAUAAAAUUUGCACGUUUUAUGCACAAAUUCCCUAUAAUAAGCAAAACACGCCCACAUAAAUACGUAUGUAUGUGCAUAUGUAAACAGUGAGUAAAUGAAGGUGAAACAUAAAUAAUAAAACAAAUUGUAAAAAAAUAAAUUAAAUAAAAAAGUAAAUUAAAAAAAAAACCGUUAAUCAGUGAAACUAUUCGCGAAAAAACUGUGAUACAUAAUUUUUGAACAAUAACAACAUUGUGCGAGACUGUGUAAAAAAUAACAAUGUGUGAUAUGCCGACGAUUCUAUACACAUACUUACAAUAAAAGAAGAAUAUGCUAAAUAUAUAGAAAAAACGUGCAUUCCACUAGUUUCAACACAAACACUAUGACGGCUAUGGACAAAACAACGGAAGUUAAAAACGGAACUGUUAAUAACCAGCCGUAUUUUAUACAAAAUGGCAACAGGUCUUCAGAUAUUGCCGGUGAACCUCGGGAGAUUAGUACUUUUCGCAGAGCCUUACCACAAUUUUUAGCUGUAAGCGCUAAGAAUAUAUUACUUUUUGUAUAUGGUAUGACGCUUGGUUUUCCCACCAUUGUGAUACCAGCCAUACAGGGUGGUGAUGGACGUGAACCCAGUGAUAUAGUGUUAAACAGAGAUGAGAUAUCUUGGUUCAGUUCAAUAAAUUUAAUAUGCGUGCCCUUGGGUUGCCUUUUUUCGGGUGUUCUCUCUCAACCGAUUGGAAAGCGGCGCGCGAUGCAGCUGGUUAAUAUACCGAUUUUGGCUUCAUGGCUACUCUUUCAUUUUUCGACGCGCACAGAGCAUUUGUAUGCGGCGCUCUGUUUAAGCGGUAUGGGUGGCGGUCUUAUGGAAGCGCCGGUAUUGACUUAUGUUGCCGAAAUCACUGAGCCCAAAUAUCGUGGUAUACUCUCGGCGCUCGGUUCGACAUGCGUCAUCACCGGCGUCUUCAUACAAUUCAUUAUGGGCUCUUUUAUGGAUUGGCGCACAAUAGCUGCAUUGAGUUCAGCAUUUCCGAUUAUUUGUAUAAUAGCGCUAUGCUUUGUACCUGAAAGUCCGACGUGGUUGAUACGUGAACAUCGUUUUCGUGAGGCUGUAAAAUCAUUGCAAUGGCUACGCGGUUGGGUGCCCGAAUAUAUGAUCGAAGCUGAGUUUAAUCGACUCUAUGAGGAAUUGAUUACACAACCGGCUUUAGAAGAAGCCGUCGAAAAUCAUGGUGAAAAGCCGUCCAAGUGGACCAAUCGCUUUAGAAUGUUUCGCAAACGUUCCUUUCUGGUACCGUUUAUAUUGGUCACAUUUACAUUCUUUACCGGACAUUUUUCUGGCAAGACUCCGCUGCAGACGUACGCGGUGCAGAUAUUCCACACACUGAAAGCACCAAUCAAUAAAUAUCACGCUACUAUUUUAUUGGGAGUUGCCGAGAUGAUCGCAACAAUAUUAUGUGUCUUCCUCAUCCACUUCACCGGCAAGCGUCCAUUGGUUAUGAUAUCUACCAUCGGUGUUGGGGUUUGUAUGUUUGGUACCGCUACCUACGCACACUAUGUCAAGGUGGUACCUGGUUUUGCCGUAAACAAUGUAGUCAUAAAUGCUUCUAAUAUAGUCCCAAGCGAGAAUUUAAUAACUCAAGCCAAUAUUAGUAAAAUUUUUGAAGACGAGAUAUCAGUUUUGCAGCCCGAUAGUUUGAUGCUUGACAAAUUGUUGAAUACAACAACAUUAUACUCAUUCUUAGAUGAUGGCGGCAUAGAGACGACAACACUCGUAGCCAUUAAUGGUAGCGAGAAUGCAUUGAAUCGCACUAAACGGGAAGAGCAAGAGCUUUCCCUUAAUGAUUAUAAUGAUCCUUUGACUUUUAUACAAUUACCUGGCUUAGAUUAUCAAGAUGCAAAUAAUGGAAGCGAUAAUGUGACAUCAUUUUUAAACCUUUUUGACUCUGAGGAGGAAGCAGAAACCACAACAGUGUCAAAAAACUUAGAGGAAGAAUUGACUACAACUUUGGCGUCAAUUAUUCUUGACAAGCGCGUUGCAGGCUCACCAUCUACAGUAGAAAUGUCCAAGGAGGUGUUGUUACCAGUACCAACACAAACAACCAACAACUUGGUUUGGCUUCCAUUAAUUUUAUUAUUAGGCAGCGCUUUUUUCGCACAUAUCGGUAUACGUAUGAUACCUUGGAUACUUAUCGGUGAGGUAUUUCCGGCUCAAGUACGCAGCACUGCUUCAGGCCUUGUCAGUGGUUUAGGUUAUAUUUUCGGAUUUUUGGCUAAUAAACUUUUUCUACAAAUGCUGUCUGCGUUUACUUUGCCGGGCACAUUCUGGCUCUAUUCGGCAGUGGCCUUGUUUGGCGCAUUAGUGUUGUAUUUUACACUACCAGAAACCGAGGGACGCACCUUACACGAAAUUGAGGCGCAUUUCUCUAAAAAAUCGAAAACGAAUUUGUUGAAAAAGUCAUGCCGUCAAGAUUUGAAUAAGACAGCCAUACAAUUGGAUAAUCUUCAAAACUUACAAAUCCCUAUAAGCGCGCAAGCUGAAGCGAAGAUAAUUCAGUUACAACAAAGUGAUUUUGUGCCUCAACGUUUGCAUGUUGCAGGCGAGAUCAAUCCUGCAUUUGAAGAAAACAAUACAACGCACUUAUAACGGUUGGAAAAUAGUUAUGUACAUAUACAAUAGGAUUAAAUUUUUACAUAUGUAUGCAUGUUCUGUCUACUUGCAAUUUUUCAACUGCAUUACUUUGUGGAUUUAAAAAGUAUUAUUAUUUGUAUAAUUAUGUAAAUUUGUAGAUACCAUAAUCAGUAUGUUGUAUAUAACUACAUAUUAACAUGUACAUAUGUAAGAACGUACAUGAAUGCACAAGCCUUUUAUCUGAUGAAAGUUUUGAGAAAAGCUAUAAUAAAUGUAAUUACAAAUAUUAUUGGUUGUUUAUUUGAAAUAACGUCUAUAACUAUGUGGUGGUGAAUGUAUCUCGGAAAAUUAAGUGCACAACUAAUAUCUGUUCAAUGAAAUCCUGGCAGCGUAGGAUUUUAAAAUUACAGUAUAUAAUAAAUAAAACUUCAGUUAUUUCCUCUAUGGAAUGAAAUGUCAAAUACAAAAACGGAACUGGAAGUAAAAUAAGUAUAAACGCACACUCGUACCCCUAAAACUAUAUAAUUACAUAACCUUCACUUUAUUUAUAGAUACAUACACAACAUUAAUUUUGUUGUCUGAAAUUUUUCAUUUUAAUAACAUUUUUAGAAUCCCAUUUUUAUUUUAUGUAAGCAAUCCGAAAUUAUUUAGCGUAUUACUAACCUUACUAGAUAUACGCCAUUUAUUAUUUGUGCAAUAUAAAAUUAUUUUAUAUUAUAUUCAGAAGAAGUCCGGCAACAUGAGAUUGCCCACAGCUGAUUACAUUUAUGUAAAUAUUAGUCGGUACAUAAAAAUGUCGCUAACGCAAAAAUUAAAUGUUCUAAUUAAAAAAAAAUCUAUCAAAUAUGGUGUGCCAUUUUUAAUUUUAAUGGUGGGAGGCUCUUUUGGGCUAGAGCAAUUCACCCGUCUCAGGUAUCAGUUCUCUCGUAAGCAGCCGGUAAGUCCAGAAGAAAUGGAGAAAUAUGGUGUAACAAUGAAAAAACCAGAUGAAGUGACACUGGACAAAGAAUAUGAAAGAAUAAAAAACUUGAAUAUUGACGAAUGGGAGAACAAGCGCGGCCCUAGACCAUGGGAGGAGACACAAUAGUCGGUGAAAAAAAUUUGGUUAGAAAAGUGUGAAACAUUUACUAUUUAUGUAUCUACCAUUCAUAGAUUUUAAGUCAUUUGUUUUAUUGUUAUACUGAGUUU